This 24-nucleotide small nuclear RNA is filed under the name Arabidopsis thaliana (thale cress). RNAcentral describes it as "snRNA_01080". The record is from RNAcentral. Lineage: Eukaryota; Viridiplantae; Streptophyta; Magnoliopsida; Brassicales; Brassicaceae.
UAAUUUGGCACGGAAUGUCCGUUC